CUCUUUGUGUGAUUUGCUUGGCAGCCCUGAAAACAGCUGACUGUCUGGUUGGAUCAGUCCCCCGUGGCAAACUCAGGACUCUGUGUUCCCAGUACUGGCUCACAGAAUCUGGUUGAAUCACGAAAAGGAAGCUGGACUUGUGAGGAUGGAAGGGAUCUGAGAAGACCGGAAGAACAAUGGUGAAGUAAAGUAGAAAAAGUGAGAACACUGGGUGGUCCAGUCUGAUGGAGAUUCAUCUGGAUGCAAAAUGUGAAGACAAGCCUUCAGUUCCCUUCUUGACCACCAGCAUGGAACUAAACAAUUAAACCUGUCAGAAAAAAAAAAGCUGCU
Molecule: long non-coding RNA, 330 nt
Organism: Pan paniscus (pygmy chimpanzee)
Lineage: Eukaryota; Metazoa; Chordata; Mammalia; Primates; Hominidae
Source: Ensembl